GACGAACGCUGGCGGCGUGCUUAACACAUGCAAGUCGAGCGGUAAGGCCCUUUCGGGGGUACGACGAGCGGCGAACGGGUGAGUAACACGUGGGUGACCUGCCCUCAGCUCUGGGAGUAAGCCUGGGAAACCGGGUACUAAUACCGGAUAUGACUCCAUGACGCAUGUUGUGGGGUGGAAAGCCUUGUGCGGCUGAGGAUGGGCCCGCGGCCUAUCAGCUUGUUGGUGGGGUGAUGGCCUACCAAGGCGACGACGGGUAGCCGGCCUGAGAGGGCGACCGGCCACACUGGGACUGAGACACGGCCCAGACUCCUACGGGAGGCAGCAGUGGGGAAUCUUGCGCAAUGGGCGAAAGCCUGACGCAGCGACGCCGCGUGAGGGAUGACGGCCUGGU
Molecule: ribosomal RNA, 394 nt
Filed under: uncultured bacterium
Lineage: Bacteria
Description: bacterial SSU rRNA
Rfam family: Bacterial small subunit ribosomal RNA
Source: RNAcentral